RNAcentral lists this long non-coding RNA (3529 nucleotides) under Homo sapiens (human). RNAcentral describes it as "non-protein coding lnc-PSPC1-2:1". The record is from RNAcentral. Lineage: Eukaryota; Metazoa; Chordata; Mammalia; Primates; Hominidae.
UAUACAGUACAAGUGUUAAAAUGUCUAUAUCUAGCAAAUUUUGCUUAAUUCAGUCCAAGGAAAUAAUUCUAACAGUGGCAAAGUAAUUAUGUACAAAGAAUCUUUGAGAUCAUUAAGUAUUUAUAUUCAGAACAAUGCUGGCCCUAAGACAGUAUGGUGAGCACAAUUUAAGGCAAAAAAUAAGCAGGAAAAAUUCCUACUGACAAAACUUAGGAUAAUUUUACUUUAUGGGUAUUGCCUCAUUCCCAACCACUAUUACUGGAUCGUUUUCUGAAUGCUUAUAUUUUAUUAAGACACAGGAAUUUAAAAUUAAGUCAUCUGUGCUUUUGAUUAGAAGAAUGUACUUUUCAGUAGUGAAAUACAGAGUAUCUUACCAGAAAAACAGGAAGCUGAAAUUUAUCAUUCAGAACUACAGCUUGUACACUACACGGUCCACAGAGCCGAGCAAUAACUUCUUUACCCAAAAAGUUUGCAUGGAAGAUAAACAGCAGGAUGCCAGAGCCUGAAAAUGGGAGAUGUGUGUGAAUUACUUCAAAGGCAACCUUCAGUCCCCAGAGGAACACUCAACACCAGAUGGAAGCAGGCCCCUGAGCUGGGCCUGGUCAGACAGGCAUCACCCACUCUGCCUGGAGGCUCAGAGGAGGCUGGCCCUCUCAAAGCUCGUGUCACCUGGCAUUUUUCAACCACAGAACUCUUUUUACCUUUUGCCCAAGUAAUCUCUGCUGACAGUUCCUGGAAAAGACUUACGUAUGAUUUUCUACACUGAAGUUAUUUAACUGGUAUUUAAACACUGCUGCUGAAUGUGCACACGUCCCAGGGACAUUCCUGUGGUGGGCAUCUUUGGGUGUGGGUCUGAGUGGUUUUCCAUUUUCUUCCACAUACCCUUUUGCCCCUUCCAAUUUUUCUGAUUAAUACAUAACCAAAAAUUGGCCAGGCAUGGUGGCUCAUGUCUGUAAUCCCAGCACUUUGGGAGGCAGAGGCAGGCAGAUCACUUGAGGCCAGGAGUUCAAGAUCAGCCUGGCCAAUAUGGUGAAACCCCCAUCUCUACUAAGAACACAAAAUUUAGCUGGGUAUCAUGGUGGGCACCUGUAAUUCCAGCUACUCGGGAGGUUGAGGCAGGAGAAUUGCUUGAACCCAGGAGGCGGAGGUUGCAGUGAGCCGAGAUCGCACCACUGCACUCCAGCCUGGGGAACAGUGUGAGACUCCUGAAAAAAAAAAAAAAAAGUUGGUGGAUGCAGACAUUGUACACAUGCUGAGAAAACUGCAGGCCCAGCAGUUGUAGGUGUCAGUGGGGGCUCAGGUUCACCAGGGCCAGCUCAGGGCAUCGUUCUCUGGUACUCAUACCUGGCAAUGCAGAUGGUCCACCCGAAUAAUCAAAACUAUAAAUUACUGAACGCGCACGGUGGCUCACGCCUGUAAUCCCAGCACUUUGGGAGGCUGAGGCAGGCGGAUCACUUGAAGCCAGAAGGCAGAGGUUGCAGUGAGCCAAGAUCAUGCCAUGCACUGCAGCCUGGGUGACACAGGGAGACUCCAUCUCAAAACAACAGCAACCACCUGAUAAGUUCUCUCAACACUAAGAUAUUACAAACGGCUCUUUCAGGGGCAGGGCUAUAUGUUCUUAAAUACAUUUUCCAGGAAUGAAUACAAACCAUUUACAAAAUGGGGAACAGGAGUUUCUAAGCAAAAAAAGCCAGAGCCCGGCUUCCUCCCCUCGGCAGACUGCACUGCCUCCACGUCUACCUGGCGCCACGUGUAGAGAGGGCCAGCCGCAGCCCUGCCUGGAGAGGGUCUGUCGAGCAGAGGCUAGAGAGGAAAGUGGCUUCUCCAUCUCUUUCCACUCAGCUUUACUAUGGAGCAAGACUAUUUUUUUCUUUUUCAAAGGGCAAAGACUAUUACAAACAACAAAAUUCAGGGAAAAAACAUUCUAGGCUUAGAAUCUUGACGCUGAAUUUUAAUAAAACUCAUUGAGAACUAGUGUGAUUAUUAAGACCUAACUUCCAUGCUCUAUAUGGGUGUUAAAACAGGGAUGGGGUGUCAGCUGGAUGUCUCUUCCACCAGAGUGGCUCUACUGUUAACCGGUCUGCAGAAUUAUUACACGUAAUGGAAUUUCCUUAAAGUUUUGUUCCAAGAAAGGAUUCUGUCUAAAAAUCUGUUAAUAUAGUGUCACACUUCACAUAGAAAAGUGUGAAGGGAGGCAUCGGCUUACCUUCUGGUAUGUUCUGUGGGGGUUUGUAAUUGAAAUCUGUUGAAAAAUCUGGACCCUCACAGAGUCGAUGACAUGCGAUUGGAAAAACUGGUUCUAGCAGAGCAAGGCGAGCUUCAAAGUAAUCCUUUAUUGUCUCUUCUGCUACUCUUGAAAGUCUAAGAAAAAAAAAUAGUACGUGUUAACGUUAAUGUAGAAAAGAACCACAAGCCUGUCGAAUACCAGUGAGGGCUUCCCAGGCCAACCUUCCAAACAAAGACCUGCAGCUCUGCCUGCCUCCGCUUUCCAGCUCUACUUCCACCAAGCACCUGACACCCAUGUGUCUGUCUUGUUGUCCAUCUCAGUGGAAUUGAAGUUCUAAGAAGGCAAGUCUCUUCCCUCCACUGCCAUUUCCAUCUCCCCAGCCUUUAGAACAGUGCCUGGCACAAAGUCUAUGCUUAAUACAUAGUUGUCUAAUGAAUCAGUGGAAAAUCAGAAAGGGGAACCCCUCAGUACUGGGCAAAUCAGGAAAGUGGGUCACUCUACUUGCUGGAUCUAUGCAAACCCCCCGUGUGACCAGAGGAGUUGGGACUGCAGCCAUCAGCAGCACUGAGUUCAACAGGCGCGGUCCCAGAGGCCCACCCGAGACCUGCUACAUAAACACCGCCUUGAGUUCGCUACUGUCUGAUACAUGCAAGUUUCUGAUAUGUGUUGCCAAGAGUUCUUAAGUGAUAGAAAUACUAAAUUGUGUUAUAAGUAUGAACCUGCAAUAAAAUAAAAUAUGAUUGAGAAUUUAUUUGAAAAAGAAUGAACUUGAAUAAACUAGUAAAUCUUGACAACCAACAACAGAAUAUUAGUCAGUGCUAAACAGAAAUGCACUAUCAAGACAUGGAAGGAAUCUUGAAUGCCUAUUGCUAAAUGAAAGAGGCCAACCUGCAAAGACCAAAUAAUGUGUGAUUCCACCUGUUCUGGAAAGGGCAAAAUAUGAAGGAAUUAAAUUACUGGUGGUUGUCAGGGGCUGGGGGAGGGAGGGAUGAAAAGGUGGAAAACACAGGCUUUUUAAGGCAGUGAAACUAUUCUGUAUGACACUGUGAUGAGGGAUGGAUGUCAUUAUGUAUUUGUCCAAAUUCAUAGAAUGGGUAACACUACGAGUGAGCCCUAAUGUCAAUGCUGCGCUCCAGGGGAUUAUGCCAUGUCCCUGUAGGUUCCCCAGCUGUAUGUCCCACUGUGGGUGACUGGGAUCUCGACAGUCGGGGAGGAUGGCGGUGGGGAGGCUUGGAAAUCUGUACCCUCCGCUCAACUUUGCUGUGCUUAAAAGUGUUGCAAAAAAUAAAGUCUAUUAAAAAG